GUUUUGACUGUCUCCUUAGAUACUGUGUGUCUACUUGGCAUCUAUUAAUCACAGGGCCAAACUAUCAGCCGAAAUAUUUCUCUCUCCUGCCGGUCAGCUUGCCUUAUCUCCUUUCCUGUGCAGACAGGCUCAGCCAAGGCAGAGACCCCACCCUCCUUCUUGUCUAACUUGCGCACACCAGACCGGUAUUGCGCCUGUCCUGAGUCAGCCCAGGCCAGGUACCAGGCACCGGGAGAGCCCAAAGGCCACCAGGCUUGUUUAGCCUAGCCAAUCUGACACUUCACUCUGCUUUGCCUUGCCUUCCGGAGGAAACUCCACUAUAGGCUCCGGCUUGUUCUUCGCUCCUGUCUUCUGCCUCCUGACCACCCUGGUGUUCCCCAUGUGGCCUUGGUGGCAGCAGGUGCCCCUUCUCUCAGGACAUCUAAGUAAUAAAUUCUUCUUUCGAUGGCAGUGACCUCUCCAUGGUGUCACUCAGUCGCCUCCAUAAAUUAAAAUCUCCCGGAUACAAGUGAGACAAUAAGGGAGAAGGAGAAGGGAGAAGACACGGACCAGGGAAAUGGCCACGUGAAGACGGAGGCAGAGACUGGAGUGAUACGAGUGCAGGAGUGUCUGGAGCCAGCAGAAGCUGGAAGAGGUGAGGAAGGACCCUCCCCCCAGCCCAGAGCCUUCAGGGGGAGCGUGGCCUGCAGACGCCUUGAUUUCGGACUUCUGGCCUCGGAAAUCUGUGGGGAUUUGUUAUGGCGGCUCCAGGAAGCUAACAGAGCAUCUACCAGUUGACGACCACUUGUUGAGUCUUUAUUCUUAACACACACUCAGACGCUGUACUACUUGACCCUCCCGACAACGCCUUGUGGUCAGUACUGUCGUCCCCAUUUUACAGAUGAGGGAAGUGCGCCUCAGCCAGGAGAAGAGCUGGGGGUGAGCCAGGCCGUGCCGCCCAAGCCCCUAAGCCCAUAAGCCACUGCGCGAUCGUGUGACCCGAUGGUGCGGAACCGGUACCCUUUUAGAGGAGGGGAGGAUGUUGCUUCCGCAAACCUGUGCAGUCACAUUUGGGCACACCAGUCCCCCCUUCACCCCAAGCCCCUGAUGCCGUCACCUGCUUUCUAUACCUGCUGUGAUGGGCACCGUUCACCAUGGUCCCUGCUCUAGCCGCUGCCACCUCGGGGUGGCCCCUGGACCUGGUCACUCCCUGGCCCCCCACGCCUGCUCCUGGGAGUGUGGCCUGGAGCCUUCGGGACUCUGUGGCCCUGCCUGCAGCCGCACCCCAUGGCCUUGUCCACCUUGAGGCGGGUGGUGCACAUGGGCCCUGCUCUCCAGUGAGACCACCUUGGGGAGACCGGGGAAGGCCCUUGGCGGCCUGAGUCUGUGGCUGGCUGCUCUUCGGACCCUCAGCCCCAACUCUCGGCUCCCAGGGCAGCCUUUCUGGAUAUCAGCAUCCUAGAGGGGGCUCCAGAUUCUGUAUCUUCCCAGAACUCCCACUUCCUGUAUGUUCAACACACUUAAGGAGGUGGAGCACCCUGGGCUCCAUCAGCAGAUGGUACGGGAAUUCUGCUUCGAACAGACACUGGGUUUGUUUGGAAGAAAUAGGUUAAUAAGCCCCAUGGGGUGCGGGCCGAGACCCCAAAGGCAUUCUCAAGUAACAAAGGAUGAUGCUACCCUGCUUUCUAAGGAAGUAGAUGCUGUUAACCUGAGGGCCUUCGCCUGGAAAGAGCUGGGUUUGGGCCAGGAGCCUGGUUGUUCACGGGGGAGACGGGGUGAGGAUUUUGAAGUUACUGGGAAUCGAUUGCCGGAGUUAGAGGCGAGGAGCGAGGCCAGCUAUGCUGCGAGGUGGGGAAAGCUCAGGCUCCCUGCGGUGGAGCGGGUGAGGCUCAGGGAGAACAGAAAUGUCUGCAGGGAAUUUUUCAGUUGUUUGCGCUCAGGUCUCCGAGGUAAACCCCUCUCCUUCAUCGCCAAACAUCAAAAAUCACACCUUGUUUGCUAACGCUUCUGUGAGUGCUGGCGCUGGGGACUGUGGCCCUGGGGGAGUGUUUUGCUUGGAGCAGACCACCCUUGGGGACACAGAGAGCAGGGACAGUGGAGGACGGGCUUGCAAAAUGGCGCUGGGACAAUUGGUGACGUAUUUGGAAAAACAUUGGAUUAGUUUCUCACUUUCACUUCCAGAUAUUAAAGAGCUUGAUGCAAAGAAAGAAAAUGAGAGAGAGAGAUCAAAAGCAGACUAAAAGGAAGUAUUUGAUUUGGGGAAGAAGUAUUUUCGGAAUGUAAAAGCUGGUAAAGAAAUUCCGAAGGGGAAAAUUAGACACAGGUCAAAACCACUCUAAAAAAUGUAAAAGCAAACCACAAACUGGGAAAAAAUAUUUGCUACAAAUACCACAAAGAGUUAAUAUCUAUCCUAUAUAAAGGUCCCAAACAGACUGGUAAGACGCAAUUAGAUACCCAAUAACACAAUAUACAACGGAUGAGACAGACUGUCACUGCACAAUAUGGGGGUUCUCUUGCCUGAUGGGCAUUUAAAAAGCCAGUUAAUUAUGGCAUCGGCGUUUGGAAAAGAAAUCAGCUUUAUUCUGCGAGACUGAUCUGCAGGGAGACAGGUGGUGUGUGCCCUCAGAUCUGUCUCCCCAAUUCCACAUUUGGGGCAAAAUUUAAGAGGCUAGGGAGAAUAGGCUGGCACAUGGAAACGCUGGUGGGACAGGCUUUGCUUGGUGGGCUUCAGACAUUUAUGGUGAGGUUCUGAACACUUAUGGUGAGGUUCUAAACACUUAUGAUGAGGUUCUAAACAUUUUUGAUGAGGUUCUAAGCAUUUUUGAUGAGGUUCUAAGCAUUUUUGAUGAGGUUCUAAGCAUUUUUGAUGAAGAGGGGAAGGAAUUUUAACAUCAGAUCUUCCUGAAUGAUGGCCCUCUCACUUCUGAUAAGAGUCUGACUUUAAGGUCUGUUUGUGUCCUCGUCUUUGGGUUCCAUGGGGAGGAGAAUCUUUGGUCACUUCAGGCCAAGAUUUCUUCUUCUGUGCACGCUCUGGCUACAUGACUUUGCAAGUUUUCUGAAAGACAAUUCUUAAUCACUCUGUUGAUAAGAGAUGGGGUCUUUCAAACUGGCUCUUAAGGGGUCUGCAGUCACAAGACCAUGCACCAAAGAAAUCUGGAUAACUAAUAAACACAGGGAAAUGUUCAAAUAUAUUAGUAGUCCAAGAAAUAUAUAUAAAAAAGUAUCUUUGGGUGGUGGAAUUAUAAAUGACAAUAAAAUUGUAACUGCAUUUUGUAAUUUUUCUACAGUUACACUUGCAUCAAGAGAAAAUCCUAAAAGUGUUCAAAGGAUACAAUUAUGAGAUGCCAUUGAAUAGCAAAUGAGUAGUCAGCAUCAGAGAUUUCUAGUUGUGGUGGAUCGUGGGCAAGUUUUUUUCUUUCAAGCUUUUGUGCAUUUUAAGACUUAUAUUGUUCAUUUGCCCUUUCAACAAUGAAGAAAUAUUACUUUAAGUAUUAGAAUGAAUUUGCAAGUUAAAAUAAAUUCCUUCUUCCUAACCCCUCAGAAGUCUGGGCCCCGUAUGCAAAUAGGAUUCCUGGGGCCACCGAAACACCCACUCCAGGGUGGGAGGGCAGCUGAACUGAGAGACCACCCCUCCCACCUCCAUCGCCAAACAAAGGGGUCCUUCAGCCCUCCCCAUAGCACACACACCCCCUCUCAGGGUGGUCCCCACCCUUAGGACGCUCUUUCUAGUCCCACCCCCAUCUCCAGGGUCCACCCUGACCUCCCCACACUCUCAAGUUUGGCCUGCCAGCUGCUGUGAGAGGGCUCAGGGCCAGUGUGGCACCACCUGGGGGCCCAUGGGGGUGAGCUGGGCCACCCCAGGCCCCUCAGAGGCCUGGCUGGUGGCUGUGCAGUGGCCUGAGAGGGCCUUGACGGGGCUCUGGUGCAGACAAGCCUUGAGUGGUUGGAAGUCAAACCACGAUCCCUCUGCCCGAAUGUCCCCCUCUCCACCCGGGUGUCUGUUAUGGGCUGAAUUGUAUCCCCUCAAAAUUCGUAUGUUGAACUCCUAACCCCCAGUGCCUCAAAAUGGGACUGUAUUUGGAGACAGAGUCUUUGAAGUGGUAAUUAUGGUAAAUGCAGUCAUUAGGGUGGGCCCUAAUCCCAUAUGACAGUAUCUCCUUUUAAGAAGAGGAAAGUUUGGAGGUCGGCCCUGUGACAUCCUGGUUGAGGCUGGCAGGCCCUGCUUUGGUGGCCCAGAUCUGCGGGUUCAGAUCCUGGGUGCAGACCUACACUGCACUCUUCAAGCCACGCUGUGACGACAACCCACAUCCAACAUAGAGGAAGACUGGCACAGAUGUUAACUCAGGGAUGACCUUCCCCAAGCAAAAAGACAAAGAAGAAGAUUGGUAACAGAUAUUAGUUCAGAGUGAAACUUCCUCAUCAAAAAAAAAACCAAAAAAAACUGAAAAAGAGGAAAUUUGAACACAGACACGCAUACUGGGAGAGGCGAUGUGAACAUGAAGACGGCCGUCUAUAACCAAGGAGAGAGGAGGGAACAGCCCUUCCUUCACGGCCCCGGAAGGAACCAAGCCUGCUGGCACCUUCAUUUCUGACUUGGAGCCUCCAGAGCUGAGAGAAGACACUGUUCUGUUGUUUAGGCCUCCUAGUCUGUGGUACUUUGUCAUGGCAGUCCCCACAGAUGGCUACAGUGUUCUUGAACACCAGACUAGGCCCUCAGAUAGAAUCCCAAAGAGGUUAAAGACAGGUUUUGGGGCUGACUUGGUGGUGUAGUGGUUAAGUUAGUGCAUUCUGCUCUGGUGGCCCAGGGUUUGUGGGUUUGGAUCCCAGAGGCAGACCUAUGCACCACUUAUCAAGCCAUGCUGUGGCGGUGUCCCACAUACAAAAUAGAGGAAGAGUGGCACAGAUGUUGGCUCAGGUACUAUCUUCCUCAAGCAAAAAGAGGAAGAUUGGCAACAGAUGUUAGCUCAGGGCCAAUCUUCCUCACCAAAAAAACAAAAGAGAGAGAGAGAGAGAUAAGUGUCAGCUUACAAAAAAUGCAUCAUCCAGUUUGAGAGACAAGUCACCAACCUGUUGUCACAAUACAGCCCAGUGGGCCAAAUGCACAUUUUCAAAGGAAUGCAGUUUCCCAAGCUAUAGGAUGUUGGCAAAACUUACAGACAGGGCCAGCUAGAGGCCAAAUCAUGGGGUGUGGUAGGAGUAGGGGUCACAGGGCUUUGCCUUCAGACUCUCCAGCUCCCUUCCAGCCCCAGCAAUCUGCUAGUCAACUACAGGGGAGGGUGCAGAGCCUUAGCGCCACCUCCUGCUCACAGCUGCACUCUGUGUGGAGCCAGCUUCACUCCAUCCCUGGCACAUCCUGCAGGCCGUGCCACCACAUCUGGUUCCUGUGGAUGGUUGACCCAUUUGGAUAGUCUGUGCCUGCUGCCCCUUCUCUGCUCCUGCCAGGAGCUUCUGAACACAAAGGGGGUUGCGAGAGGGGUUCUGCCAUCUCAGAGUGGGUUUCCCUGGAGUUACUGCUCUAAGGGAGCCUCACUCACUGAGCCUGGGCUCUAAACUUGCAGUUUUUAGCCUCUUUAAGUCAGGAAGACAUGAUUUGGAGAAGCAAUGGGCCCCUCCCCAGACAAAUACACAUGGACAGACUUCUUGAGCCCCGCCUCUAAGAUUUGAGCUAUCCCUGGUUAUUUGCAUUCCAGAGACCUGCAGAUCCCUGAAACUCACUUGACAUGUGACCUGUAGACAAAGAGAGCUGUGGACUGGAGCAGGGCUGCAAUCCAGGUGGAAGACACAAAGGCAGCAAGAGGUGGCCCUGUGGGGCAGCAACAGGAAUGCCUGGCUGAUCCUGGAAGGCUGUCUCCAGAGGCCAGAGGCCUCACUUCCUCCUGGAGGCCGAGGGAGCACUGGAGGGUUCUGGGCAAGAAAGAGGCAUGGAGGAAGCGGGGCUUUGGGAAGGUUUGGGGAGGAAGUGUCUAGAAGCAUGGCCCUAUAAGAGCCUGCCUGCCACAUUGCCACUAUCGAUGAGCAUCACUUUUUGCAAAUGUUCCCCAGAAAGACAGGCCCUGUGUUCCAGGAGAAAGCAAGAAGAGCAGGGUCAGUAAGUCCACUCAGGUUCUGAGUGAACAGAACAAUAAGUCCUGACCUGCCCCAAAGAGGAAUGUGUUCAUGGGGGCUGGUCCGCAAGGAGUUGAGGAAAUGAGGAUUUGGGGAGCCAGCAUUGUCAAGGGGAGCGAGUGCUCUCCCCAGCGUGUCCCCUGCAGGGGAUGGACCCUCAGCUUGCAGACACCUAGAGGGGUCCCACUCACCCCUGCUCUGUAUCCACACUCAGCCACCACCUUGGUUGUCCCUUGGCUCCUGUAGUGGAUUGCCUUGUGGCCCCCAAAAGGCAUGUCCACCUGCCACCUCAGAAUGUGACCUUAUUUGGAAUAAGGGUCUUUGCAGAUGUAAUUAAGUUAAGGAUCUCCAGAUGAGGUCAUCCUGGAUUUAGGGUGGGCCCUCAAUCCAAUGACUGGGGUCCUUAUAAGGGAAAGGGGAAGAUGGUGAAAGUGAGACGCAGAGGGGAAGGCCAUGUGAAGACGGAGGCAGAGAUGGGAGCGAGUGAGGCAGCUACAAGCCAAGGAGAACCAAGGGCCACCCCGGAAGCUAGGAGAGAGGCGUGAACGGAUUCUCUCUCAGAGCUCCAGAAGGAACCAAUCCUGCCGAUGCCUUGAUUUCUGACUUCUGGUCUCGACUGUGAGGGAACAAGGCCAUCAAGUUUGUGGUCAUUUGUUACCACAGCCCUAGAAACUAAUACAGCUUCCUAUGGUGAUCAUAGGUGUUGGAAAAGGACCUUAGGUUCAAAUCAAGUUGGGAAACUUUGUCAAACUAUAGGUUCCUUUGCGGAGGAACUUCUCAGAGCCUUUAACAGGCCACAGAGCUUUAUGAAUUUCCAAGGGGGAGGAUCAGUAUUGAACAUGCCUUUCCCAAACAUUUAACCAAGGGACCCUCGUGUGUUACUCAGCUUGGGCUGCCGUGAGAGAAUACCACGGACCAAGUGGCUUCAACAAGAGACAUUUAUUAUUUUCUACAGUUCUGGAGGCUGCAAGUCCCUGAUCAGGGUGUCGGCAGGGUUGGUGUCUGGUGAGGCCUCUCUUCCUGGCUUGCAGACGGCCACCUUCUCUCUCUGUCCUCACACGGCCUCUUUUCUGUGUAUGCACAGAGAGAGAGAGAGAGAGGGAGAGCGAGCGAGCCUUCUGGUGCCUCUUCCUCUUUGCAUAUAGACACCAGUCCUGUUGGGUUAGGGCCCUAUGCUUAUGACCUCAUUUAACCUUAAUUAUCUCUUGAAAGGCCCUAUCUCUAAAUACAGUCGUAUUGGGGGUUAGAGCUCAACAUAAGAAUUUUGGGGUCACACAAUUCAAUCUGUAAGACCUUGCUUCCUGGGACUGAUGUUCCCCCAGACACACCUGGGGAAAUGGACAUUUAAUUGCCUUGAACUUGACCCCAGGGGUAUGGGGUUGGUGGGGGUACUGUUAGUUGGCAGGUGGCUGUCAUCCAUCCUUGCCUGUAGGAGGAUGUCCUUGGUAGUGGCAGGAAAAGAGAGAGAGCAUGUGGUAGAUUUUUUUUUUAAGGUCACAAUAUUUUGCGGCUCCUCCUGUCAAAAGAGUCUUUUUUCUCCACUUCCUGAAUCAGGGCUUGGCCACAUGACUUCCUUUAGUCAAAGGGACUGUAAGAAACAUGACACAAACAGAGCCUUAAAAAGUGUUCAUGGGGGGGCUGGCCCCGUGGCCGAGUGGUUAAGUUCGCGCGCUCCGCUGCAGGCGGCCCAGUGUUUCGUUAGUUCGAAUCCUGGGCGCGGACAUGGCACUGCUCAUCAGACCACGCUGAGGCAGCGUCCCACAUGCCACAACUAGAAGAACCCACAACGAAGAAUACACAACUAUGUACCGGGGGGCUUUGGGGAGAAAAAGGAAAAAAUAAAAUCUUUAAAAAAAAAAAAAAAAAAGUGCUCAUGGGGGCCGGCCCAGUGGCGCAGCAGUUAAGUCCGCACGUUCUGCUUCAGCGGCCCGGGGUUUGCCCUUUUGGAUCCCAGGUGCGGACAUGGCACUGCUUGGCAAGCCAUGCUGUGGUAGGCGUCCCACAUAUAAAAAAAAAGUAGAGGAAGAUGGGCACGGAUGUUAGCUCAGGGCCAGUCUUCCUCAGCAAAAAGAGGAGGAUUGGCAGCAGUUGCUCAGGGCUAAUCUUGCUAAAAAAAAAAAAAGCGUUCAUGCAUUGGAGCUUGGCUCCCCUUGUUCCUUUUGGAGCCCAGCUGCCAAGUGAAGAAGGCUGGCCUGCUUGAUAAUGAGAUUAACGUGGCCCAAUUGUCCCCAUCACCCUAGACACGUGAGUGGGGCCAUCUGGGACCUGGACCAGCCAGCGUCCAGCUCACCCACCUGCUGACUCCUUCCAUAGAGUCAACUCAGGUGACACCAGCGGAAGAACCACCCAGCAGAGCCCAGCCCAAAUAAUAUCAAUAGCAAUAAUAAUAAUAGUGGCUUUAAACUACUCAGUUUGGAGGUGGUUUGUUAUGUAGUAGUUAAGGCAUCUUAGAAGAGACCUAUGACCAUCACUGCUUUAUAUGGAAGAGUCAUCUAUGGUGCUCCUGCCUGUACCAAGUUCCUCUUCUCAGGUCUAUGGAGAGACGGUCUAUGGUGCUCCUGCCUGUACCAAGUUCCUCUUCUCAGGUCUAUGGAGAGACGGUCUAUGGUGCUCCUGCCUGUACCAGGUUACUCUUCUCAGGUCUAUGGAGAGACGGUCUAUGGUGCUCCUGUCUGUACCAGGUUACUCUUCUCAGGUCUAUGGAGAGACGGUCUAUGCCACCAGUGUUUUUGUUGUUGUUGUUAAAGAUUGGCAUCUGAGCUAACAUCUGUUGCCAGUCUUCUUUUUUUUUUUCUUUCUUCUUCUUCUCCGCAAAGCCCCCAAGUAUAUAGUUGUAUAUUCUAGUUGUAGGUCCUUCUGGUUGUGCUAGACGGGGUGCCACCUCAGCAUGGCUUGAUGAGCAGUGCUGUGUCCACGCCCAAGAUCUGAACUGGUGCAACCCUGGGCCACCAAAGCAAAGUACACGAACUUAACCACUCGGCCACGGGGCUGGCCCCGCCACCAGUCUUGCUAUGAAAGUUUUCUGGCCUCUUAAAGACAGUAGCAUGAUGAUAUCAGGGGAAAACUCUUAAACUGAUACCCCAGAAAAUCAGGAUGUGAGCUUUAUUAGGUCAGUCCCUGUAAUAAGCCAUGGGCUGGCUACAGAGAAAUUGAAAACAUCUUUUAAAUGACAGAAUGUGUUAAACAUGUAAAAACCGAUCUAUCUUGAAUAUUCCUGAAUAUCCCACUAGAAGGAGCUGGUGAAACACUUAGGUUUUGCUUGCAAAGCAAUUUCCUUUUGAGAAAUAGCACCAUCUUCUGAAAAUCCAGCAGAAGUGACUGUCUUGGUGGUAGGGACCCACAGCAGUCCAGGAAUGGCCGGAGAGCAGUGGGUAUGGGGACGGCUCCCAGGGGUCCUCCCCACCUGCCCUGGCUCUCUGCUGCCCCCCAGUGCUGGUUCAGUGGCAUCGCAGGAGGAUGCCACCCUUGCUUGACUCAGGCUCCUGGCUCUGCAGGCGGGUGAUCCACCUCAGGGUCUGGGUUUGAGCCCCAGACCCCAUGGGACAUGGUGAGGAGGUUCGUGUUCCAUACCUCACUCCCACCCCAACCCCGAAAGCUACACAUUCACCCUCAGUCCACAAGGUGUCCAGUGACAGGAGGACAUGGAUUAUUAGCAACCACUGCCUCUUCUGGGGCAAUUUUAUUUUGGGGUCCCACUCACGUCAUGUUAGAUACACUGAAGUUCACCUAAAU
RNAcentral lists this long non-coding RNA (9816 nucleotides) under Equus caballus (horse). Its description in RNAcentral is "lncRNA (ENSECAG00000049597.1)". Lineage: Eukaryota; Metazoa; Chordata; Mammalia; Perissodactyla; Equidae. The record is from RNAcentral.